UACAUAGGGGGCAAGCGUUAUCCGGAAUUAUUGGGCGUAAAGGGUGCGUAGGUGGUUAAUUAAGUCUUUGGUGUAAGUUCAGCGCUCAACGCUGUGAUGCUAAGGAAACUGGUUGACUUGAGUGUGGUAGAGGCAAGUGGAAUUCCAUGUGUAGCGGUAAAAUGCGUAAAUAUAUGGAGGAACACCGGUGGCGAAGGCGGCUUGCUGGGCCAUAACUGACACUGAGGCACGAAAGCGUGGGGAGCAAACAGGAUUAGAUACCCUGGUAGUCCACGCCGUAAACGAUGAGUACUAAGUGUAGGGGAAACUCUGUGCUGUAGUUAACGCAAUAAGUACUCCGCCUGAGUAGUACGUACGCAAGUAUGAA
RNAcentral lists this ribosomal RNA (367 nucleotides) under uncultured bacterium. Its description in RNAcentral is "bacterial SSU rRNA". It matches the Rfam family "Bacterial small subunit ribosomal RNA", at positions 524 to 898 of the family's 1533-position model. The record is from RNAcentral.